RNAcentral lists this ribosomal RNA (253 nucleotides) under uncultured bacterium. Its description in RNAcentral is "partial 16S ribosomal RNA". It matches the Rfam family "Bacterial small subunit ribosomal RNA", at positions 524 to 776 of the family's 1533-position model. The record is from RNAcentral.
UACGUAGGGCGCGAGCGUUAAUCGGAAUUACUGGGCGUAAAGCGUGCGCAGGCGGUUUCGGAAGACAGAUGUGAAAUCCCCGGGCUUAACAUGGGAACUGCGUUUGUGUCUGCGAGACUCGAGUGUGGCAGAGGGGGGUGGAAUUCCACGUGUAGCAGUGAUAUAGGUAGAGAUAUGGAGGAACAUCGAAGGCGAAGGCAGCACCCUGGGUUGACAAUGACGCUCAUGCACGAAAGCGUGGGUAGCAAACAUG